AUUGAACGCUGGCGGCAGGCCUAACAAAUGCAAGUCGAGCGAGCGGCGGACGGGUGAGUAAUGUCUGGGAAACUGCCUGAUGGAGGGGGAUAACUACUGGAGACGGUAGCUACUACCGCAUACCAUCAGAUGUGCCCAGAUUGGAUUAGAUAGUGGGUGGGGUAACGGCUCACAUAGGCUACGAUCCCUAGCUGGUCUGAGAGGAUGACCAGCCACACUGGAACUGAGGCACGGUCCAGACUCCAACGGGAGGCAGCAGUGGGGAAUAUUGCACAAGGGGCGCAAGCCUUAUGCAGCCAUGGCGCGUGUGUGAAGAAGGACUUCGAGUUGUAAAGCACUGUCAGCGGGGAGGCGUUACCCGCAGAAGAAGCACCGGCAAACUCCGUGCCAGCAGCCGCGGUAAUAC
This 406-nucleotide ribosomal RNA is filed under the name uncultured bacterium. RNAcentral's name for it is "partial 16S ribosomal RNA". It matches the Rfam family "Bacterial small subunit ribosomal RNA", at positions 30 to 526 of the family's 1533-position model. The record is from RNAcentral.